CUAUGAGAAAUUUCUGCAAAUUCUGAAAUUCUUCUCAACUUAGCAAAUGCUUGCCAAAGUCACUUCUUCUCUCAACUCUCUCCCACCUCUUAGCUUUCUUCCAACAAUGGAGGCUGCCUGAAGCUAGGACCACACCACCUCCUUCUCUGCCGUCACAGCCACUCACUACAUCUCAUCCUUUUCCACUGCCGGUUGCUGGAAUUCCUUCUCUUCCAAUUUCCAAUUUCACGCACACAAUGGAGAGGCUUAUCAGGAGUGUACAUGCAACCAACCCUCAUAUUCCUAUGUCUAGGCAUUACUACCUUUGGGAGAAUUUUCCCAGUUCUAGAC
This 330-nucleotide long non-coding RNA is filed under the name Vigna radiata. Its description in RNAcentral is "long non-coding RNA (VRAD_LNC011490)". The record is from RNAcentral. Lineage: Eukaryota; Viridiplantae; Streptophyta; Magnoliopsida; Fabales; Fabaceae.